RNAcentral lists this ribosomal RNA (484 nucleotides) under uncultured bacterium. Its description in RNAcentral is "partial 16S ribosomal RNA". It matches the Rfam family "Bacterial small subunit ribosomal RNA", at positions 30 to 507 of the family's 1533-position model. The record is from RNAcentral.
AUUGAACGCUGGCGGCAGGCCUAACACAUGCAAGUCGAGCGGAUGAAGGGAGCUUGCUCCUGGAUUCAGCGGCGGACGGGUGAGUAAUGCCUAGGAAUCUGCCUGGUAGUGGGGGAUAACGUCCGGAAACGGGCGCUAAUACCGCAUACGUCCUGAGGGAGAAAGUGGGGGAUCUUCGGACCUCACGCUAUCAGAUGAGCCUAGGUCGGAUUAGCUAGUUGGUGGGGUAAAGGCCUACCAAGGCGACGAUCCGUAACUGGUCUGAGAGGAUGAUCAGUCACACUGGAACUGAGACACGGUCCAGACUCCUACGGGAGGCAGCAGUGGGGAAUAUUGGACAAUGGGCGAAAGCCUGAUCCAGCCAUGCCGCGUGUGUGAAGAAGGUCUUCGGAUUGUAAAGCACUUUAAGUUGGGAGGACGGGCAGUAAGUUAAUACCUUGCCGUUUUGACGUUACCAACAGAAUAAGCACCGGCUAACUUCGUG